RNAcentral lists this long non-coding RNA (2122 nucleotides) under Homo sapiens (human). RNAcentral describes it as "uncharacterized LOC102724542, transcript variant 20 (LOC102724542)". The record is from RNAcentral. Lineage: Eukaryota; Metazoa; Chordata; Mammalia; Primates; Hominidae.
GCAGCUGCCGGACACCAGGAGACGAUGGAAGGUCUAUAGUGUUACAGCUCUGACCCAGGAAGUCCCAGGGUCUUGCCUUCCAGAAGGGUCGCGGCUCUUCCCUCCCUCAGUCCAACGAACAGGAGCACGUCACCUCCCGCAGCUCGGGGAGCUGGCCAGGAACGUGUUACAGCCCGUUUCGCUCCUGUCCGCAGCUGGGUGAGGCAGCCAGGAAAAUAUUACAGCUCUUCUCACGCCCGCCAUUCAGCAGGUCCUGACUUCUUGUGUGACAUCCAGAAGAAAGGGGUUACACAGACAGCUGGAGGGUGAGCAAAGUGGAGAAGUUCUCAGCAGAGAGGAGACUGGAGUGAGUUGCCCCUACCCGCAGGUGCCAACUGUAAUACAUCAGUAGCUGAACAGCUCAUUGCCCUCAAGUGUUCUUGCUCAUGCCUGGCUGAGUUAUUGAAGAAAUUGCUCAGAUCUCAAGCCCUUGUAGAUCACUGGUCCUGGCAGAUGUUAUGGGGAACUCGCUAUGUUGCCCAGGCUGGUCUUGAACUCAUGGUCUCAGGCAGUCCUCCUGCCUCAGCUUCCCAAAGUGCUGGAAUUACAGAUACGUGAACAGAAAAGCCUGAACUAGGGAACUGACCAUGAAACUAAAAAGGAGAAAGCAUAUGCAAGUGGACACAAUAUUAUACACCCGUGAUAUUGAUGGCAGUGGCUGCUGCUGUCGUGGCUGCUGCUAUCACGCCUGCUGCAACACAGAGGUGCGACUGGGGCUGCACAUUUCACGGAGGUGUUGGGAGUUCCGCCCCUUCUGAUGUGGGGAAAGAGAUCCCCAGGUGCCCCUGCAUCUGCCCAAACUGUGGCUGUGGAUCGGAGGCUCCAGGUUGGCAGGUUGGGAGCUUCCGGGUGCAGCUGCGACCGCCCUCCCAGGUGCAGGACCCUGGUGUUUCUGCAGCCUGCACCCUUGGGGGCCCCAGGAAAGACCCAUAUCCUUGCAGGCUUGGAGGUGUUUGCUUCUUCUGCCUGGCCUCUCUCGGCUCCCGGUGCAUGCUCUCAUAUCUGAGUGGGGGUUGGUGCUGAGCCCCGGGGCCGUGAAUUGCAGCAGGAGGCAGAUUUAUUCCUGGGCAGAAGGUGGCAGAUCCCAAGUAAGGGGACCUUCAAGCCAGGGAGGGCCUGAAGGCUGGUGGCUGGGCUACCAGUCCCACCGACCAGAGUGGGGAUUCGUGGGCCUCUUCUGGGCCACCCAUAGCCACCCAUGGACCAAUCAGCAAGCACAUCCUCCCCUCUGAGGUCCGUAAAAGCCCUGGGCGCAGCCUGAGCAGGGCAGAGGAAGGCCAGAGGUGAAGGAGUCAGAGAGGCGACAGGAUAGGCAGCUGCCGAGAGAAGUACGCCUCUCUGCUGAGACCUGGAGAUGACGGGAAGGCCAGAUGCAGAGAGGAGCUACCCUCUCUGCUUAGAGCUGCCAGGAGGAGCUACCAACCUUCUCUGCUGAGAGCUGCAGAGAUGACCUGCUGGCAGAGAGGAGCUACCCACUGCGGGUCUCCUCUGAUCUGUUGUAAUGCUGAAUAAAGCUUCUUUUCAUCUUGUUCACCUUCCACUUGUCUGCAUACCUCAUUCUACCCGGACGCAAGCAAGAACUCGAGCAAAGGCACAACCAGCCACAGAGGUUUCUGGCCAGAAAAUCGACACCCCAAAAGUCCUAUAACAAUCUGAUUCUAAAAGCAACAUCAUCUUUUCAAUGUAAUUCUAAAAGAAUUUGGGAUUAUUUUAUUUAAUUUCAGGAUCCCCUCUGAAGAAAAUCAACUUACAAAGGAUGGCAGGUCUUAAGAAAGGUACUUAGCAAGUGCUGGUACAUUCUAAGCAAUCAAUAUUUGUCAAUGUUCAGUAAUUGUACAAUUGUACUAGAGAAAACAAUUCCAGGGGCUUAAAAUUAUCUUAUACAAGGAUCCACUUUAUUAUUAUUUUUUCUGUUUGUUUUGGAUAAAUUACUGACUCCUUAUCUCAGUUAUGUUAUGUGUUAAAUGUUUACAGUGUUAUUUUGUAUCUCUCAAGGGCUUUUGUUAGAAUUUUCAAUGAGAUACCUUAAAACCUCUAAAAAGAAAAUGGAUGUUAUAAGUAAAUAAAAAUAAGUCUGAAUGGC